ACAAUGGCGCAUACAAAGAGAAGGGACCUCGCGAGAGCAAGCGGACCUCUUAAAGUGCGUUGUAGUCCGGAUUGGAGUUUGCAACUCGACUCCAUGAAGUCGGAAUCGUUAGUAAUCGUGGAUCAGAAGGCCACGGUGAAUACGUUCCCGGGCCUUGCCACACCGCCCGUCACACCAUGGGAGUUGGACCAAAAGAAGUAGGUAGGUUAACCUUCGGGACCAGGCUUACUCAAUGUGAUAGUUU
RNAcentral lists this ribosomal RNA (244 nucleotides) under Enterobacter sp. RNAcentral's name for it is "partial 16S ribosomal RNA". It matches the Rfam family "Bacterial small subunit ribosomal RNA", at positions 1227 to 1469 of the family's 1533-position model. The record is from RNAcentral. Lineage: Bacteria; Pseudomonadati; Pseudomonadota; Gammaproteobacteria; Enterobacterales; Enterobacteriaceae.